UCCAGACUCCUACGGGAGGCAGCAGUGGGGAAUAUUGGGCAAUGGGCGCAAGCCUGACCCAGCAACGCCGCGUGAAGGAAGAAGGCUUUCGGGUUGUAAACUUCUUUUAAGAGGGAAGAGUAGAAGACGGUACCUCUUGAAUAAGCCACGGCUAACUACGUGCCAGCAGCCGCGGUAAUACGUAGGUGGCAAGCGUUGUCCGGAUUUACUGGGUGUAAAGGGCGUGUAGCCGGGCCGGCAAGGCAGAUGUGAAAUCCCGAGGCUCAACCUUGGAACUUCAUUUGAAACUGUUGGUCUUGAGUAUCGGAGAGGCAGGCGGAAUUCCUAGUGUAGCGGUGAAAUGCGUAGAUAUUAGGAGGAACACCAGUGGCGAAGGCGGCCUGCUGGACGACAACUGACGGUGAGGCGCGAAAGCGUGGGGAGCAAACAGGAUUAGAUACCCCGGUAC
Molecule: ribosomal RNA, 448 nt
Filed under: uncultured bacterium
Lineage: Bacteria
Description: bacterial SSU rRNA
Rfam family: Bacterial small subunit ribosomal RNA
Source: RNAcentral